Molecule: small nuclear RNA, 107 nt
Organism: Arvicanthis niloticus (Nile rat)
Lineage: Eukaryota; Metazoa; Chordata; Mammalia; Rodentia; Muridae
Source: RefSeq, a predicted model, not a curated record
UCGCUUCAGCAGCAAACAUUCCAAAACUGGAACGAUAUAUACGGAGAAGAUUUGUACGGCGCCUGCGCAAAGACAGCACGAAAAUUCGUGAAAUAUUCCAUAGUUUU